GAUGGACGCUAGCUACAGGCUUAACACAUGCAAGUCGAGGGGCAUCGGGGAGUUAGCUUGCUAACUUUGCCGGCGACCGGCGCACGGGUGAGUAACGCGUAUCCAACCUUCCCUAUAGUAGAGGAUAGCCCGGAGAAAUUCGGAUUAAUACUCUAUGUUCUUCCAUGCGGACAUCUAAUUGGAAGCAAAGGUUCACCGCAUAGGAUGGGGAUGCGUCUGAUUAGAUAGUAGGCGGGGUAACGGCCCACCUAGUCGACGAUCAGUAGGGGUUCUGAGAGGAAGGUCCCCCACAUUGGAACUGAGACACGGUCCAAACUCCUACGGGAGGCAGCAGUGAGGAAUAUUGGUCAAUGGGCGCGAGCCUGAACCAGCCAAGUAGCGUGCAGGAUGACGGCCCUAUGGGUUGUAAACUGCUUUUAUACGGGGAUAAAGUGUACCACGUGUGGUGUUUUGUAGGUACCGUAUGAAUAAGGACCGGCUAAUUCCGUGCCAGCAGCCGCCGUAACAC
Molecule: ribosomal RNA, 508 nt
Filed under: uncultured bacterium
Lineage: Bacteria
Description: bacterial SSU rRNA
Rfam family: Bacterial small subunit ribosomal RNA
Source: RNAcentral